AAACGAUCAAGCUUAAGAGUUAUUUAAUUAGGGUACAGCCUAUUUAAAACAGGGAUACAACCUAGACAACUGGGUAAGACCUAGACAUAAUAUACAGUAGGCUUAAAAGCAGCCAUCUUUAAAAGCGUUGAAGCUUAUUAUUACAAUUUUUAGAUCCCACCAAUAACCACGAACCCCCCUCCCCCAAUGAAUAAUACCAUAAAAAUAUGGUAAAUAUUAUGCUAGGACUAGUAACAAGAAUAAAAUUCUCCAGAAUGUGUGCAUGAACCAGAAUGAACCUCCCACUGGUAAUUAUCGAAAAUGAGCUUAAUACAGUAACACAACAAGAAAACCCUGUAGCCCUACCCCGUCAACCUUACACCAGAACAUUCCAGGAAAGAUUAACAGAGAAAGAAGGAACUCGGCAAAUCUCUGCCCCGCCUGUUUACCAAAAACAUCGCCUCUUGAUUUACAUAAGAGGUCCAGCCUGCCCAGUGAUAAAUUUAACGGCCGCGACAUCCUAACCGCGCAAAGGUAGCACAAUCACUUGUCUCUUAAUUGGGGACUCGAAUCAACGGCACCACGAGGGCCGCACUGUCUCCUUUCUCUAAUCAGUGAAACUGAUCUCCCCGUGAAAAAGCGGGGAUGAAACUAUAAGACGAGAAGACCCCACGGAGCUUCAAACUAACAGCAACUCAGCCAGAUUUCUCCCUCAUAGCAUACAAGAUAUGCAUGUUACUUUUGGGUUGGGGCGACCACGGAGCACAAACUAACCUCCAUGAUGUAAAGAACUAAAUCUUUAUCCCAGAGCCACACCUCCAAGAAUCAGUAUACUGACGAAAUGACCCGACCAGAUCAACGAACCAAGUUACCCUGGGGAUAACAGCGCAAUCUACUUCAAGAGCCCAUAUCAACAAGUAGGCUUACGACCUCGAUGUUGGAUCAGGGUAUCCCAGGGG
Molecule: ribosomal RNA, 938 nt
Filed under: Theloderma bambusicolum (bamboo moss frog)
Lineage: Eukaryota; Metazoa; Chordata; Amphibia; Anura; Rhacophoridae
Description: partial 16S ribosomal RNA
Rfam family: Archaeal large subunit ribosomal RNA (bases 369-938)
Source: RNAcentral